Long non-coding RNA from Canis lupus familiaris (dog), 1699 nucleotides. RefSeq lists it as uncharacterized. Lineage: Eukaryota; Metazoa; Chordata; Mammalia; Carnivora; Canidae. The record is from RefSeq and is a predicted model, not a curated record. The transcript has 4 exons.
GGAGAAUACUAGAAGUGUUAGUAACAACGGUAAGAGAGAAGAAAGCUGAUUCACUAUAAUACUGAAAAUUUAAGAAUUCCAGUUGUUGAGAAGGAUCAAAGAGAUACGUCUACACAGGAGGUGAAUUUGCCAUAUUAAGAGUUGAUGCAUAAAAAAUUAUCUUGACAACUGUCAAAGUCAGAAGCUAUACAAACAAGGAGUUUUUAGUUAAGGUGUUUCUGUGUUGGAUCCCAGAGAAUAUUAUGAAGUAUAAAGGCUUCUACUCCAAAUAUGCAAAAAAGUACUCCCUAAAUAGUUGAUGAUGUGUGACAAUAGUGAAGGACUGGUAUCAGUGAUUAUGGUGCAUCAUCAGUAAUUGGACACUUUAUAGAGAAAGAUGCAAGUGACUCCAUCAGCCAAGAACCUAGACAUGCCAGAUUCUUUAAAGAAAUCAAAAUGUUCACUUAAGGAGGCAGAGGAUAUAUAUCAAUUACAGCCCUAGAAACAGUUGCAGCUAAGAACUCUGACAUGAAUUUCAAAAUGCUAUUUACGCUAUUCUGGUGGGAUCAAGUACCAGUCACCUGAGUGAGCAGUGGCUAAAUCUGCAAUGCAUCCUUCUUUUGGCUUUCCUCCCCCCAUGUUCUACUCCCUUGCACUUUAUAUCCACUUCCUCAGAUCACAUCCCCAUGUAAACUAAAUGUACACAAACUUUCGUCUCAGAUUCUGCUUUGUGGAGAACCAAGGAUAAUCUUGAUUUUAUCAUUCUCCAAUGUUCUGUUGACAAGUCAUCUGUGUGAUUAUCUGCUUAUUCUUUUAGUUUUGUAGAUUGCAAUUUUUAACUGUUACUAAUAUCCCAAUGUCGUGCUAGAAGAAAAAGUGAUAGGUAGAUACGUAGGUAGGCAGAGAUAGGCAGAUAUAGAAAUAUGUAUAUAGAGAAAUAUUAUGUGUGGGAAUAUGUUCAACUGUCUGUAUUUACCCAGAUGCCUAAAAUUCUGUGUUUAUGUCACUCAAUUUUAAAUACACUGUAUAUGAACUCCUUGUAAGCAAGGAAAGUUUCUAAUUUAUCUUUGUAUACUUUUUGAAUUUACUCUUAUUCAAAAGUGAUCUCUCUCCUAACCCCAUCCCCCACACACACACAAAAGGAAAAUCAAGCAAAAAUAAGAAUAAAAGCAAAUGCACAGUCUGAUAAUUUGUUCCUAGUUAGUUGAUAUUUUAUUAAGACUACUUAUUUCAAAAGAAAGUUAUGAAGCAUUCCAAAGGUACAGUAUUUUUUGUUGUACUUUAGUUUUUUAUUCAGAUAUGUGUCAACAAGAACAAGAUAUCAUCAAAGACUGAUAUCUUAGAUGUUUUACAUUUAUGGGAAAGAAACUUUGGCAGACUUAUUCUUUAAUUUACAAAAUACUGAAAUGUGUGUUAAGAGUUAUACAUGUUAUAAAUUUAUAAGUGUUAUAAAGAGAAAGUCCAUAGAUUGUGAAAAGAUAAAGUUAAUUGAAGGAACCAAUUACACUUUAAGUCCUUCACUUACCUUUGACAUAGAAGUAAUAAUGUGAGCAGAAAGAAAGGCUCUAAGCCAGAUCACACAUACAGGAAUCAUAUAUGAAAGGGAACUAUACAUGAAGUUAUAUUCUUAAGUAGAUGAUAGUUUACUCAGAUUCACUUACUAAGAGAUCUUGUAAAUUAUUUCUAAAAUCUGAUACAUUUUUAUAGCAGUAUAUCACUU